RNAcentral lists this ribosomal RNA (614 nucleotides) under uncultured Alphaproteobacteria bacterium. Its description in RNAcentral is "bacterial SSU rRNA". It matches the Rfam family "Bacterial small subunit ribosomal RNA", at positions 8 to 667 of the family's 1533-position model. The record is from RNAcentral. Lineage: Bacteria; Pseudomonadati; Pseudomonadota; Alphaproteobacteria.
AGAGUUUGAUCCUGGCUCAGAACGUACGCUGGCGGCACGCCUAACACAUGCAAGUCGAACGAAGUAGCAAUACUUAGUGGCAGACGGGUGAGUAACAUGUAGGUAUCUACCCUUUGGCCUGGAAUAACACGAGGAAACUUGUGCUAAUACCGGAUAAGUCUUUACGGAGAAAGCUUUAUGCACCAUUGGAUGAGCCUGCACUUGAUUAGUUUGUUGGUGGGGUAAUGGCCUACCAAGACUGUGAUCAAUAGCUGAUUUGAGAGGAUGAUCAGCCACAUUGGGACUGAGACACGGCCCAAACUCCUACGGGAGGCAGCAGUGGGGAAUCUUGCACAAUGGAGGAAACUCUGAUGCAGCGAUGCCGCGUGAGUGAAGAAGGCCUUUGGGUUGUAAAGCUCUUUCGUCGGGGAAGAAAAUGACUGUACCCGAAUAAGAAGGUCCGGCUAACUUCGUGCCAGCAGCCGCGGUAAUACGAAGGGACCUAGCGUAGUUCGGAAUUACUGGGCUUAAAGAGUUCGUAGGUGGUUGAAAAAGUUAGUGGUGAAAUCCCAGAGCUUAACUCUGGAACUGCCAUUAAAACUUUUCAGCUAGAGUAUGAUAGAGGAAAGCAGAAU